RNAcentral lists this long non-coding RNA (1455 nucleotides) under Homo sapiens (human). Its description in RNAcentral is "HSALNT0154691". The record is from RNAcentral. Lineage: Eukaryota; Metazoa; Chordata; Mammalia; Primates; Hominidae.
AAGUUUUCAUGGAUGAAAUGGAAUGUCUCUGCAAACUGAGAGAGACAGAGGAGGCCAACUGCUAUUGUGAAAAGAUCUCUGGCUUGAGGAUCUAAACCCCUGCACAGCCGUAGCCAGGGCUGUGACCUUGAGAUAUCUGCACAUAAUCUUGGAAAGCACCUAGAAAAGGCCAUGUGAGAACAUAGUAUGCAGGUGGCCACCUGCAAUCCAGGAAGAAAUCUGCCACCAAGAACCGAAUUGGCAGGCACCUUGAUCUUGGACUUAUGGUCUCCAGAAUGGUGAGAAAGUAAAUUUCUGUUGUUUUAGUCACCUAGCCUGUGGUAUUUUGUAAUGAUAAUCUGAGCAGACUAAGAGAAUAAGUAAUCAUUUUAAGUUAGAGUACAUAUCACUUACCAGGGACCUUGGGGAAAUAUUGAGUCUUGAAGGUAAAGACAGUUGAAGACCUGGUGGAUGGGACAGGAAGGCACCUGAAUUUAAGGAUGACUUUCUUAAAUAGCUUAGUGAGCUUUGAUGGCUUCGUGGGAAAUGCCUAGAGUGUUUGUUGCUUCCCACAACAGGACAUAGUGGUCAUCUUGAACACACAGGAGAAAAUUUUAUGCCCCAGUUCAUCCUCCGCAGAAGAGGAUGCUUUCCUCACUACCAAGUUGAAACUCAGGGCGGCUUUUUUUUUUGCCUCUUGUUAAAUGUUCUCUUGCAACCAUGGGGCAAGUAAAGAUCUAAGAUGUCUGUUUUUUUGCAUGGAGUUGCAAUGACAGCUAGGAACAAUGGCAAGGCAAGAUGAAAGGUGGCCACUAGAAGAGCAGGGUGACUACCUGAAGGAAUCUAUUACUUUGCCUAAAAAAAUACUCUUGCUAGAUUAAGCUUUCUUGUGACUUCUAUACAGUGAUCCUAAUUGUGUUUCUUGGAUUCAGCAGAAAUACUCCCACCACUAUGACCAGCUAAUUUUGUGUGUGUGUGUGUGUGUGUGUGUGUGUGUGUGUGUGUGUGUGUACUUUUAGUAGAGACGGGGUUUUACCAUGUUGGACAGGCUGGCCUCGAACUCCUGAUCUCUUGAUUCGCCCGCCUUGGCCUCUCAAAGUGCUGGGAUUACAGGUGAGAUGGAGUUAUUUCUUUAUGUUAUUUACUCUGUCUACAGCCAGAAAACAUUGCAAAAUUUAAUCAAAUUGUCUAACUCAGUAGAUAUUAAAUGAAAUUAUGGCAGAAAUCUAUGUGAAGUAGGCUCCUUUUUAAUAAUUUUUUUUUAUCCUUUCCAUCAUUCCUAUUCUUAUCUAUCUAUUAGGACCCAGUUCAAAUCCAAGAUUGCUAUAGAUUCAUUUUUAAUUACACGAUUCAUGAGAUUUUUAUCUUUGUCUCUGCUUUCUUGCAUAGCUUUGAAUUUGUACUUCCUAUUCUAACAUUUUUUAAUACUGAGGAUGAUGUUUGCCUUUUCCAGCCAAGAAAUUCUGAACUGCACGC